Molecule: non-coding RNA, 68 nt
Organism: Dovyalis caffra
Lineage: Eukaryota; Viridiplantae; Streptophyta; Magnoliopsida; Malpighiales; Salicaceae
Source: the annotation of a GenBank genome assembly
GGUUGCUCAAAUUGUAGAGCGCUCGCUUUACAUGCGAGACGCACAGGGUUCGAUCCCCCGCAUCCCCA